AGUGAACGCUGGCGGUAGGCCUAACACAUGCAAGUCGAACGGCAGCACAGUAAGAGCUUGCUCUUACGGGUGGCGAGUGGCGGACGGGUGAGGAAUACAUCGGAAUCUACUUUUUCGUGGGGGAUAACGUAGGGAAACUUACGCUAAUACCGCAUACGACCUACGGGUGAAAGCAGGGGAUCUUCGGACCUUGCGCGAUUGAAUGAGCCGAUGUCGGAUUAGCGAGUUGGCGGGGUAAAGGCCCACCAAGGCGACGAUCCGUAGCUGGUCUGAGAGGAUGAUCAGCCACACUGGAACUGAGACACGCUCCAGACUCCUACGGGAGGCAGCAGUGGGGAAUAUUGGACAAUGGGCGCAAGCCUGAUCCAGCCAUACCGCGUGGGUGAAGAAGGCCUUCGGGUUGUAAAGCCCUUUUGUUGGGAAAGAAAAGCAGCAGGUUAAUACCCCGCUGUUCUGACGGUACCCAAAGAAUAAGCACCGGCUAACUUCGUG
Molecule: ribosomal RNA, 492 nt
Filed under: uncultured bacterium
Lineage: Bacteria
Description: partial 16S ribosomal RNA
Rfam family: Bacterial small subunit ribosomal RNA
Source: RNAcentral